GAUGAACGCUGGCGGCGUGCCUAAUACAUGCAAGUCGAGCGAACGGACGAGAAGCUUGCUUCUCUGAUGUUAGCGGCGGACGGGUGAGUAGCACGUGGAUAACCUACCUAUAAGACUGGGAUAACUUCGGGAAACCGGAGCUAAUACCGGAUAAUAUUUUGAACCGCAUGGUUCAAAAGUGAAAGACGGUCUUGCUGUCACUUAUAGAUUGAUCCGCGCUGCAUUAGCUAGUUGGUAAGGUAACGGCUUACCAAGGCAACGAUGCAUAGCCGACCUGAGAGGGUGAUCGACGAAACUGGAACUGAGAGAGGGUACAGACUAAUACGGGAGGCAGCAGUAGGGAAUCGGCCGCAAUGGGAGAAAGCAUGAAGGAGAAAAGACGCGUGGGUGAGGAAGGGCUUAGGAUCGUAAAACUCUGUUAUUAGGGAAGAACAUAUGUGUAAGUAACUGUGCAAAUCUUGACGGUACAUAAUCAGAAAGCCACGGCUAACUACGUG
Molecule: ribosomal RNA, 497 nt
Filed under: uncultured bacterium
Lineage: Bacteria
Description: partial 16S ribosomal RNA
Rfam family: Bacterial small subunit ribosomal RNA
Source: RNAcentral